GCCCGGGUGGUGAAAUGGUAGACACAGCGGACUUAAAAUCCGCCGACGCGAAAGCGUCGUGCCGGUUCGAGUCCGGCUCCGGGCA
RNAcentral lists this transfer RNA (85 nucleotides) under Gulbenkiania mobilis. RNAcentral's name for it is "tRNA-Leu". It matches the Rfam family "tRNA". Rfam says of the family: Transfer RNA (tRNA) molecules are approximately 80 nucleotides in length. Their secondary structure includes four short double-helical elements and three loops (D, anti-codon, and T loops). Lineage: Bacteria; Pseudomonadati; Pseudomonadota; Betaproteobacteria; Neisseriales; Chromobacteriaceae. The record is from RNAcentral.